CUACGUGCCAGCAGCCGCGGUAAUACGGAGGGUGCGAGCGUUAAUCGGAAUAACUGGGCGUAAAGGGCACGCAGGCGGCUAUUUAAGUGAGGUGUGAAAUCCCCGGGCUUAACCUGGGAAUUGCAUUUCAGACUGGGUAGCUAGAGUACUUUAGGGAGGGGUAGAAUUCCACGUGUAGCGGUGAAAUGCGUAGAGAUGUGGAGGAAUACCGAAGGCGAAGGCAGCCCCUUGGGAAUGUACUGACGCUCAUGUGCGAAAGCGUGGGGAGCAAACAGGAUUAGAUACCCUGGUAGUCCACGCUGUAAACGMUGUCGAUUUGGGGGUUGAACUUUAGGUUUGGCGCCCGUAGCUAACGUGAUAAAUCGACCGCCUGGGGAGUACGGCCGCAAGGUUAAAACUCAAAUGAAUUGACGGGGGCCCGCACAAGCGGUGGAGCAUGUGGUUUAAUUCGAUGCAACGCGAAGAACCUUACCUGGUCUUGACAUAGUGAGAAUCUUGCAGAGAUGCGAGAGUGC
Molecule: ribosomal RNA, 515 nt
Filed under: uncultured bacterium
Lineage: Bacteria
Description: bacterial SSU rRNA
Rfam family: Bacterial small subunit ribosomal RNA
Source: RNAcentral